Molecule: non-coding RNA, 779 nt
Organism: Schizosaccharomyces pombe (fission yeast)
Lineage: Eukaryota; Fungi; Ascomycota; Schizosaccharomycetes; Schizosaccharomycetales; Schizosaccharomycetaceae
Source: the annotation of a GenBank genome assembly
AGCCGAGUUUGUCAACAAGUUCUUCUGCGAUAUGAGGGUCAAGAUUUGGACUGUUGGGAAGAGAUCGUUUGAUGAUAGCGCUAGGAUUUUCAGCUGCUACAGUCUCAAUGUCAACACCUCCUUGGUCGGAGGCGACUAUCAUGGGGCAUUGGUUCUCACGAUCCAUUAAAAUAGCGAAGUAAUACUCUUUACGAAUAAACUUCCUCUCGCAAACAUAGACAACAUUGCAAAUCUUUCCAGCAGGACCAGUUUGUCUGGUAAUUAACUUAUGACCGAUCAUUUGUUCAGCAAACAUUCUCGCUUCUGUAGCAUCAUAAACAGGCCGUACUCCUCCACGCAGGCCACUGUCAAAUUGGCCCUUUCCACGACCGCCUGCUAGAACUUGAGCUUUAACUACCAAAUCUGUGACUUUAAGAUCACGAGCAACCUUUUCUGCCUCUUCACCGCUCCGAGCAGGAGCACCACGAGGAACGUCCACACCAAACUUUCUGAGAAUAUCAUGAGAAAUAUAUUCAUGUAAAGCUAGAUUUCUUUUUUGUAAAAAGGGAGAAAAAGCGCGAGGUGCUUUUCUCAGCACACUUCUGGUUAACAUGGUAGGAAAGUUGGAUUGAGAGAAUCUAGCGAUGAACUUAAACAAUUCUUUGAUAAAUAUAUGAGAAGCGUAGCAUACAGAUACACGUUCUUUUAAAAAAUAUAUAUAGAGAGAGUCUCCUCCUAAACUACAACAAAGAGUAGGCUGUAGAAAGACCAAUACUUGGGUGUGAGUGAUAUUGUACGUG